AGUCGAACGCUUUUUCUUUCACCGGAGCUUGCUCCAUCGAAAGAAAAAGAGUGGCGAACGGGUGAGUAACACGUGGGUAACCUGCCCAUCAGAAGGGGAUAACACUUGGAAACAGGUGCUAAUACCGUAUAACACUAUUUUCCGCAUGGAAGAAAGUUGAAAGGCGCUUUUGCGUCACUGAUGGAUGGACCCGCGGUGCAUUAGCUAGUUGGUGAGGUAACGGCUCACCAAGGCCACGAUGCAUAGCCGACCUGAGAGGGUGAUCGGCCACACUGGGACUGAGACACGGCCCAGACUCCUACGGGAGGCAGCAGUAGGGAAUCUUCGGCAAUGGACGAAAGUCUGACCGAGCAACGCCGCGUGAGUGAAGAAGGUUUUCGGAUCGUAAAACUCUGUUGUUAGAGAAGAACAAGGAUGAGAGUAGAACGUUCAUCCCUUGACGGUAUCUAACCAGAAAGCCACGGCUAACUACGUGCCAGCAGCCGCGGUAAUACGUAGGUGGCAAGCGUUGUCCGGAUUUAUUGGGCGUAAAGCGAGCGCAGGCGGUUUCUUAAGUCUGAUGUGAAAGCCCCCGGCUCAACCGGGGAGGGUCAUUGGAAACUGGGAGACUUGAGUGCAGAAGAGGAGAGUGGAAUUCCAUGUGUAGCGGUGAAAUGCGUAGAUAUAUGGAGGAACACCAGUGGCGAANNCGGCUCUCUGGUCUGUAACUGACGCUGAGGCUCGAAAGCGUGGGGAGCGAACAGGAUUAGAUACCCUGGUA
Molecule: ribosomal RNA, 760 nt
Filed under: Enterococcus gallinarum
Lineage: Bacteria; Bacillati; Bacillota; Bacilli; Lactobacillales; Enterococcaceae
Description: bacterial SSU rRNA
Rfam family: Bacterial small subunit ribosomal RNA
Source: RNAcentral